CCGCCACAACGGCUUCCUGACGUGGCGGGACAACAUAAUCGGAGCA
RNAcentral lists this non-coding RNA (46 nucleotides) under Litoreibacter janthinus. Its description in RNAcentral is "SAM-SAH-Weickhmann-2018 RNA". It matches the Rfam family "SAM/SAH riboswitch aptamer". The record is from RNAcentral. Lineage: Bacteria; Pseudomonadati; Pseudomonadota; Alphaproteobacteria; Rhodobacterales; Roseobacteraceae.